UUACGGGUCGCUGUGUCUAUGUGAAGAUGUACACCUGUGAGUUUUUCAAGCUCAAUUAGAAAUAUCUUCCUACAAGGUUCCCAGAAUUAGUAUUGUGACAACAUAUUGGAAAUGAAAUUGUCAACAAAGGCUCAUAUUGCAUCAUCAGAAUCCACUUGACACUUUGUGGAGAGCGAGAGUCUCACUUUCAGAGAUUUAUAGGCUCCAGACUUAGUAUUAGAAAGUGUGUGUUUUGUGAAAGUUCAUCUAAAGAAACAAACCCCACCCAGUCGGCUGUUAAUGGCAAGCAUAUCUGAAAUACCAUCAAAUACCACCGUUUUGUCCUCCUGGUAUAUAUGUGUCUUUUCACUGUGUUUGGCCAAAGAUAAUUAUGAUGAUACUUCCUGGAGGACUUGGAGGACUGCCAGAACUGUCAUGAGAUGGUCUUUUGCCCUCCACCACGGGAAGAAACAGCAGGGUUCGGUACAAUAUGGAAGGCCAAUGAUGACAGAGGCAAGGCUACACUAUGGGAUUAAUUGUCUGUCUGGACCAUAGGACCCAAACUCCUGGAAGAAGCAGCACUGUCCAUUCUGUGAAGUAUGACUGACAAAAAGUCUUGACCUUGGGAAAGAUCUGAAGUGAGUUCAUAAAGGAGAUGCCAUUGGCAUCGCUUCCUUUCUUACAUGACCUAAUUGCAUGGAAAAGCCUGACCUAGGGUUACGUGAAACUGAAGAACAGUUGUUGAACAGUGUUUGAUGUUGUUUGGCAUUUGCCGAUUUUAUUGUUUAGUGUUUCUGUUGGGUAGUUAAUGUACAAAGUGGAGUAUGUGAGCCAAAGGGAAUGUUUUCUGAUGCUUAAUGCAGGGACAAUAAGGAAGUCAGAGAAAGUCCACUCUUAAAAUCUCAGUUCAUGCACUCUCCUUUCGAAAUCCAAGCAGGUUUCACUAACCCGCUGCGUUUAAUCUCAGUAUCUACUCUGUCAUUAAAGCACUGAUUUGUUCUUCUGUACUGAAAAUUACACUGUUCUCAUGGAAACUGCCAUCGCUUCUGAAGAAGACUAUAUCUAGCCUUUUAAACCUUUAUAAGUGGACAUUAAUGGCAUUAUAUAACUUUAAUGUAAAAUAAACAGGAAUGCUUGGAAAAAAACAACUGCAUUCACAGACUUUUAUUAGAGCCAGUAUACAGAGAGCCUGCAUUUGUGUGGCUGAGGAGACAUGUUUUACCUAUGUUUUCUGAGGCAAGUGUGCCAUAUAGUUUUAUUUCUGCCAGAA
Molecule: long non-coding RNA, 1249 nt
Organism: Aquila chrysaetos chrysaetos
Lineage: Eukaryota; Metazoa; Chordata; Aves; Accipitriformes; Accipitridae
Exons: 5
Source: RefSeq, a predicted model, not a curated record